UUUUGCAUAUUCCAAAAAGCGGAGGAAAAGAAACCAACAGGGAUUGCCUCAGUAACGGCGAGUGAAGCGGCAACAGCUCAAAUUUGAAAUCUGGCCUCUUUGGGGUCCGAGUUGUAAUUUGUAGAGGAUGUUUCGGGUACCGCCUCGGUUUAAAUUUCUUGGAACAGAAUGUCAGAGAGGGUGAGAAUCCCGUCUUGGACCGGCGGUAGGGCCCAUGUGAAACUCCUUCGACGAGUCGAGUUGUUUGGGAAUGCAGCUCAAAAUGGGUGGUAAAUUUCAUCUAAAGCUAAAUAUUGGCCAGAGACCGAUAGCGCACAAGUAGAGUGAUCGAAAGAUGAAAAGAACUUUGAAAAGAGAGUUAAACAGUAUGUGAAAUUGUUGAAAGGGAAGCGCUUGCAACCAGACUUGAGCGCGGCGGUUCCCCCUUCCUUUUGGUUGGGUUACUCCGCCGUGUCCAGGCCAACAUCGGUUCUGGGGGUCGGUUAAAGGCCCGGGGAAUGUACCUACUCCUUCGGGGGUAGACUUAUAGCCCCGGGUGUCAUGCGACCACCCGGGACCGAGGAACGCGCUUCGGCUCGGAUGUUGGCGUAAUGGUUGUCAGCGACCCGUCUUGAAACCACGGACCAAA
RNAcentral lists this ribosomal RNA (628 nucleotides) under Exophiala spinifera. Its description in RNAcentral is "partial large subunit ribosomal RNA". It matches the Rfam family "Eukaryotic large subunit ribosomal RNA", at positions 34 to 670 of the family's 3401-position model. The record is from RNAcentral. Lineage: Eukaryota; Fungi; Ascomycota; Eurotiomycetes; Chaetothyriales; Herpotrichiellaceae.